This 548-nucleotide ribosomal RNA is filed under the name uncultured bacterium. RNAcentral's name for it is "bacterial SSU rRNA". It matches the Rfam family "Bacterial small subunit ribosomal RNA", at positions 355 to 896 of the family's 1533-position model. The record is from RNAcentral.
UGGGGAAUUUUGGACAAUGGGCGCAAGCCUGAUCCAGCAAUGCCGCGUGAGUGAAGAAGGCCUUCGGGUUGUAAAGCUCUUUUGUCAGGGAAGAAACGGUGAGUCCUAAUACGGCUUGCUAAUGACGGUACCUGAAGAAUAAGCACCGGCUAACUACGUGCCAGCAGCCGCGGUAAUACGUAGGGUGCAAGCGUUAAUCGGAAUUACUGGGCGUAAAGCGUGCGCAGGCGGUUAUAUAAGUCAGAUGUGAAAUCCCCGGGCUCAACCUGGGAACUGCAUUUGAGACUGUAUGGCUAGAGUGUGUCAGAGGGGGGUAGAAUUCCACGUGUAGCAGUGAAAUGCGUAGAUAUGUGGAGGAAUACCGAUGGCGAAGGCAGCCCCCUGGGAUAACACUGACGCUCAUGCACGAAAGCGUGGGGAGCAAACAGGAUUAGAUACCCUGGUAGUCCACGCCCUAAACGAUGUCUACUAGUUGUCGGGACUUAAUUGUCUUGGUAACGCAGCUAACGCGUGAAGUAGACCGCCUGGGGAGUACGGUCGCAAGAUUA